This is an RNA transcript of Cannabis sativa, 2368 nucleotides long. It is a transcript of the gene named phosphatidylserine decarboxylase proenzyme 2-like, with no coding region annotated. NCBI's taxonomy places the organism in Eukaryota, Viridiplantae, Streptophyta, Magnoliopsida, Rosales, Cannabaceae. The transcript has 22 exons. The record is from RefSeq and is a predicted model, not a curated record.
AAUUGGCAUUUGGUCAACGACCUGGAAAAGCUAGCUCUAGCUCUUCUUCUCUUCAUAAACCUCUCACCGCUGAUCAUUUUGCUGGAAUAGCUCUUCUCACUCUCCGUAGUGCGGAAAUGAAGUUCAAGGACAAGUGGCUUGCUUGUGUUUCUUUUGGAGAACAGACAUUCCGUACACAAAUAUCUGAUCAGACAGACAAACCAGUCUGGAAUUCUGAAAAAAAGCUUCUUUUGGAAAAAGAUGGACCUCAUGUUGCAAGGAUAUCUGUGUUUGAGACGAAUACUGUGUCUAGCAACACUCUGGUAGGAUAUUGCGAGAUUAAUCUUCUUGAAUAUUUAACGCAGGGUGAGGAUUCUGACCCUGAGGUGCUGGACCUGUUAAAUCCAUCUUCAUCGGAUUUGAUAGUUGGGAAGAUUUAUAUUUCAUGCUCUGUUGAGGAUCCAGUUGAAACAGAAAAGAGUUUUGCAAGACGCAUCUUAUCUAUAGUGGACUAUAAUCAGGAUGGGAUGCUGUCAUUGUCUGAGUUUUCUGAUUUAAUUAAUGCUUUUGGGAAUCGACUGGCAGCUGAAAAGAAAGAGGAAUUGUUUAAAGCAGCUGACAAGAACGGGGAUGGUGUUGUUAGCAUGGAUGAGUUAGCUACCCUUCUUGCUUCUCAACAAGAAAAAGAACCAUUAAUUACUUGCUGUCCUGUUUGUGGUGAAGUUCUUGAAGUUUCUGAUAAGCUGAACAACAUGAUUCAUCUGACAUUGUGUUUUGACGAAGGAACUGGAAACCAGGUUAUGGAAGGAGGAUUUUUAACCGAUACACAGGCUUCAUAUGGGUGGAUGUUCAAACUAAGUGAGUGGGUCCACUACUCUUCUUAUGAUGUUGGUUUGAAUUCUGGAUCAAGCGCUUCUCAUAUUGUGGUAUUGGAUCGGAGGACAAAGACGCUUGUGGAAGAAACAAUUGACAGCAAAAUUGUUUUGUCAAUGAGAGCUAUAUACCAGUCAAAGCUUGGGAUUGGGCUUAUGGACAAAGGAGCAAAAGAAUUUUUGCUGAGCAUCUCUGAAAAGCAAGGGAAGAAAAUGAAUACAACGGAGUCUGCUAAAGACAUACCAAAGUUUGUUGACUUUUUCAAGGGUCAAAUCAAUUUGGCUGAAGCCAAGUACCCCGUGGAACAUUUUAAGACGUUCAAUGAAUUCUUUGUGCGAGAGCUGAAGCCAGGUGUUAGACCAAUUGCCUGCAAGGAACGGGAUGAUGUAGCUAUUUGUGGAGCAGAUAGCCGUUUGAUGGCGUUUACAACAGUAGAUGAUAGUAAAAGGUUUUGGAUUAAGGGACGAAAGUUUUCAAUAAAAGGUCUUCUUGGACCAGAAAUAAGUUCCAACGAAUUUGAUCAUGGAUCGUUGGUAAUAUUUCGUUUGGCACCACAGGACUAUCAUCGUUUUCAUUUCCCUGUUUCUGGAACUGUUGAGAAAUUUAUCGACAUACCUGGUGCUUUAUACACAGUUAACCCCAUUGCAGUCAAUAGCAAGUACUGUAAUGUAUUCACUGAAAACAAGCGAGUUGUGUCAAUUAUUUCAACACCUGAUUUUGGAAAGGUGGCAUUUAUAGCUAUUGGAGCUACUAUGGUUGGAAGCAUAACAUUUUCAAAGAAAGCGGGUGACCAUGUGAAGAAGGGAGAUGAGUUUGGAUAUUUCUCAUUUGGUGGAAGUACCGUAAUUUGUGUCUUUGAAAAGUUCACUGGAUUUAGACUGGCAUGAUAAUCAGCGAUAAGGUAUACUUACACCUUGGAUAAGUGUUAUCUCCUUUCCAGGGCAUUGGCAAAGUUUACCAGUAUCAGAUGUAUGGAGUAUACAUUGGAAGGGACCAAUAUUGAUCUUAGAUUAAGGACAUGGUACGUAGUUCAAUUGAGUGGGAGCGCUAAACAUAGAUAUGGAAUCUAUAGCUUCUAUAAGUAUUUGAAAGUGAAACGAUGAUUUUCUUCGAGCUUGGCUGAAUAUAGAUAAAUGAUUGAGGCCUCAUUUCAAUAAUUAUAUUAGUUUACUGAAGUAUCAUUUAUAGGUUGCUAAGUGUUUUAAGGAUAAAAUACAUUGAAGGAUAGAAUAGUAAAUUUGUCCCUAUUUAGUGUAGAUCAUCUAUAGAGGAUCUUUGACUAUUAGGAUUGUUACAAUGGAUAAUCAUAACGUAUCUAUAUUGUGGUACAUAUAGAGCAUUCUAUAUAACUAAGAGUGCUAUUCAAUUCUAAAUCUAUAGUGGCGCAAGGCGAAAUUAAUAAGUUGAGAAUUUACCAAGUAAAUUCUCAACUUAUUAAUUUCGCCUUGAGAAUUUACCAAAGAUCUACUUAUUGAAAUCUCAGUUAUAUAGGUCUAUGAUCCCCUCACUAGUUGAG